RNAcentral lists this transfer RNA (76 nucleotides) under Clostridia bacterium. RNAcentral describes it as "tRNA-Lys". It matches the Rfam family "tRNA". From Rfam's summary of the family: Transfer RNA (tRNA) molecules are approximately 80 nucleotides in length. Their secondary structure includes four short double-helical elements and three loops (D, anti-codon, and T loops). Further hydrogen bonds mediate the characteristic L-shaped molecular structure. tRNAs have two regions of fundamental functional importance: the anti-codon, which is responsible for specific mRNA codon recognition, and the 3' end, to which the tRNAs corresponding amino acid is attached (by aminoacyl-tRNA synthetases). tRNAs cope with the degeneracy of the genetic code in two manners: having more than one tRNA (with a specific anti-codon) for a particular amino acid; and 'wobble' base-pairing, i.e. permitting non-standard base-pairing at the 3rd anti-codon position. Lineage: Bacteria; Bacillati; Bacillota; Clostridia. The record is from RNAcentral.
GCAGCUUUAGCUCAGUUGGUAGAGCAAAUGACUCUUAAUCAUUGGGCCCAGGGUUCGAGUCCCUGAAGCUGCACCA